Molecule: ribosomal RNA, 253 nt
Filed under: uncultured bacterium
Lineage: Bacteria
Description: partial 16S ribosomal RNA
Rfam family: Bacterial small subunit ribosomal RNA
Source: RNAcentral
UACGGAGGGAGCUAGCGUUAUUUGGAAUUACUGGGCGUAAAGCGCACGUAGGCGGCUUUGUAAGUAAGAGGUGAAAGCCUGGAGCUCAACUCCAGAACUGCCUUUUAGACUGCAUCGCUUGAAUCCAGGAGAGGUGAGUGGAAUUCCGAGUGUAGAGGUGAAAUUCGUAGAUAUUCGGAAGAACACCAGUGGCGAAGGCGGCUCACUGGACUGGUAUUGACGCUGAGGUGCGAAAGCUAGGGGAGCGAACGGG